CUGUUCCCAUCCCGAACACAGAAGUUAAGUCCUCCAGCGCCGAUGGUACUAUCCUGGAAACGGGACGGGAGAGUAGGACGCUGCCGAAA
This 89-nucleotide ribosomal RNA is filed under the name Deltaproteobacteria bacterium. The record is from RNAcentral. Lineage: Bacteria; Pseudomonadati; Myxococcota; Myxococcia.